Molecule: ribosomal RNA, 253 nt
Filed under: uncultured bacterium
Lineage: Bacteria
Description: partial 16S ribosomal RNA
Rfam family: Bacterial small subunit ribosomal RNA
Source: RNAcentral
UACGUAGGGUGCAAGUGUUGUCCGGAAUUAUUGGGCGUAAAGAGCUCGUAGGCGGUCUGUCGCGUCGGCUGUGAAAACCCGGGGCUCAACCCCGGGCCUGCAGUCGAUACGGGCAGACUAGAGUGUGGUAGGGGAGACUGGAAUUCCUGGUGUAGCGGUGAAAUGCGCAGAUAUCAGGAAGAACACCCGUGGCGAAGGCGGCUCUCUGGGACGGUACUGACGCUGAGACGCGAAAGCGUGGGGAGCGAACAGG